This 245-nucleotide ribosomal RNA is filed under the name uncultured bacterium. RNAcentral's name for it is "partial 16S ribosomal RNA". It matches the Rfam family "Bacterial small subunit ribosomal RNA", at positions 524 to 767 of the family's 1533-position model. The record is from RNAcentral.
UACGGAGGAUCCAAGCGUUAUCCGGAAUUACUGGGCGUAAAGAGUUGCGUAGGUGGCAUCGUAAGUCGGUAGUGAAAGCGUGCAGCUCAACUGCAUAUACAUUAUCGAAACUGCGAAGCUAGAGGACGAGAGAGGUACCUGGAAUUCCUAGUGUAGGAGUGAAAUCCGUAGAUAUUAGGAGGAACACCGAUGGCGUAGGCAGGGUACUGGCUUAUUCCUGACACUAAGGCACGAAAGCGUGGGGA